RNAcentral lists this ribosomal RNA (373 nucleotides) under uncultured organism. RNAcentral's name for it is "bacterial SSU rRNA". It matches the Rfam family "Bacterial small subunit ribosomal RNA", at positions 526 to 896 of the family's 1533-position model. The record is from RNAcentral.
CGGAGGGUGCGAGCGUUGUCCGGAAUCACUGGGCGUAAAGGGCGCGUAGGCGGCCUGGUAAGUAGGGGGGUGAAAUCCUGCGGCUUAACCGCAGGGCUGCCUUCUAAACUGUCAGGCUGGAGCACAGUAGAGGCAGGUGGAAUUCCCGGUGUAGCGGUGGAAUGCGUAGAGAUCGGGAAGAACAUCAGUGGCGAAGGCGGCCUGCUGGGCUGUUGCUGACGCUGAGGCGCGACAGCGUGGGGAGCAAACAGGAUUAGAUACCCUGGUAGUCCACGCCGUAAACGAUGGGCACUAGGCGUCGGGGGGAGCGACCCUCCCGGUGCCGUCGCUAACGCAGUAAGUGCCCCGCCUGGGGAGUACGGCCGCAAGGCUG